AUUCCAGCUCCAAUAGCGUAUAUUAAAGUUGUUGCAGUUAAAAAGCUCGUAGUUGGACUUCUGAUGUGGGACUGCGCCCCGGUAUUUUGCCGUUGGGUGCGGGCUCGCGUCUUCCUCUCGUAGUUGGAUGGUGCACUUAACUGGGUGCCUUCUGAAUAUGGGACCUUUACUUUGAAAAAAUUAGAGUGUUCAAAGCAGGCAAUCGCUUGAAUACAUUAGCAUGGAAUAAUAGAAUAGGACUUUGGUUCUAUUUUGUUGGUUUCUAGGACCGAGGUAAUGAUUAAUAGGGACAGUUGGGGGCAUUAGUAUUUAAUUGUCAGAGGUGAAAUUCUUGGAUUUAUGAAAGACUAACUACUGCGAAAGCAUUUGCCAAGGAUGUUUUCAUUA
This 387-nucleotide ribosomal RNA is filed under the name Choanoflagellata sp. Its description in RNAcentral is "partial small subunit ribosomal RNA". It matches the Rfam family "Eukaryotic small subunit ribosomal RNA", at positions 582 to 975 of the family's 1831-position model. The record is from RNAcentral. Lineage: Eukaryota; Choanoflagellata.